Long non-coding RNA from Sciurus carolinensis (gray squirrel), 265 nucleotides. RefSeq lists it as uncharacterized. The transcript is spliced from 2 exons. The record is from RefSeq and is a predicted model, not a curated record. NCBI's taxonomy places the organism in Eukaryota, Metazoa, Chordata, Mammalia, Rodentia, Sciuridae.
GGAGGUCGUUGCUGUGAAGCUGACCCCCUUCUCCAGCUGCCCCUUUAGAGGAGAAGUGUUGGCUCCGGCUCUCAGGAGAGAGGGUGAAGGCAAAUUAUCAUCCAUGGGAUUUUGCUCUACCAAUGUUCGACUAAAGAAGUGUGUUCUCCAGAGAUAUUUCAUUUGGAUCUCUUUCCCUAAGAUCAGAGGAAUCAUGUACAUGAGAAUUAUAUACAUAUAUGGAUGACAGAUAUCAUGUUAGGUAAAUAAAUGCGGUAAGGUAUGA